GAUCUCAUGGCUGCUUUCGGUUCCGCUAUGACAUGCGGAUGAAAAGGGAAUGCCGGUGCGGACUACCCAUCAGGGGCCAAGACCGGAGCUGCCCUCGCAACUGUAAGCGGCGAGCGGCCUGCCAUCACCACUGAUCGUUUCGAUCGGGAAGGGGCAAGGCGCGACCGAGCCGCAAGCCAGGAGACCUGCCGCAAGCGCAAGACCAUG
RNAcentral lists this non-coding RNA (207 nucleotides) under Pelagibacterium sp. Lineage: Bacteria; Pseudomonadati; Pseudomonadota; Alphaproteobacteria; Hyphomicrobiales; Devosiaceae. The record is from RNAcentral.